CCUACGGGGGGCUGCAGUGAGGAAUAUUGGUCAAUGGACGAGAGUCUGAACCAGCCAAGUAGCGUGAAGGAUGACUGCCCUAUGGGUUGUAAACUUCUUUUAUAUGGGAAUAAAAUGUUCCACGUGUGGGAUUUUGUAUGUACCUUAUGAAUAAGGAUCGGCUAACUCCGUGCCAGCAGCCGCGGUAAUACGGAGGAUUCGAGCGUUAUCCGGAUUGAUUGGGUUUAAAGGGAGCGUAGGUGGAUUGUUAAGUCAGUUGGGAAAGUUUGCGGCUCAACCGUAAAAUUGCAGUUGAAACUGGCGGUCUGGAGUACAGGAGAGGUGGGCGGAAUUCGUGGUGUAGCGGUGAAAUGCUUAGAUAUCACGAAGAACUCCGAUGGCGAAGGCAGCUCACUGGACUGCAACUGACGCUGAGGCUCGAAAGUGUGGGUAUCAAACAGGAUUAGAUACCCCAGUAGUC
This 460-nucleotide ribosomal RNA is filed under the name uncultured bacterium. RNAcentral's name for it is "partial 16S ribosomal RNA". It matches the Rfam family "Bacterial small subunit ribosomal RNA", at positions 338 to 795 of the family's 1533-position model. The record is from RNAcentral.